RNAcentral lists this ribosomal RNA (303 nucleotides) under uncultured bacterium. RNAcentral's name for it is "partial 16S ribosomal RNA". It matches the Rfam family "Bacterial small subunit ribosomal RNA", at positions 507 to 809 of the family's 1533-position model. The record is from RNAcentral.
AGCAGUAGCCGCGGGAAUACGGAGGGUGCAAGCGUUAUCCGGAUUCACUGGGUUUAAAGGGUGCGUAGGCGGAUCUGUAAGUCAGUGGUAAAAUCUCCAGGCUUAACCUGGAAACUGCCGUUGAUACUAUAGGUCUUGAAUUUUGUGGAGGUUAGCGGAAUAUGUCAUGUAGCGGUGAAAUGCAUAGAUAUGACAUAGAACACCAAUUGCGAAGGCAGCUGGCUACACAACUAUUGACGCUGAGGCACGAAAGCGUGGGGAUCAAACAGGAUUAGAUACCCCAGUAGUCCCUGUCUCUUAUAA